CACGUAGGCGGCAGUGUAUGUCAGAUGUGAAAUACUCCGGCUCAACCAGAGAACAGCAUCUGAAACUGCACAGCUAGAGUACAGAAGAGGGAAACGGAAUUCCCGGUGUAGAGGUGAAAUUCGUAGAUAUCGGGAGGAACACCAGUGGCGAAGGCGGUUUCCUGGUCUGAUACUGACGCUGAGGCGCGAAAGCGUGGGGAGCAAACA
This 207-nucleotide ribosomal RNA is filed under the name uncultured Pseudomonadota bacterium. RNAcentral describes it as "uncultured proteobacterium partial 16S ribosomal RNA". It matches the Rfam family "Bacterial small subunit ribosomal RNA", at positions 568 to 774 of the family's 1533-position model. Lineage: Bacteria; Pseudomonadati; Pseudomonadota. The record is from RNAcentral.